AGUGAACGCUGGCGGUAGGCCUAACACAUGCAAGUCGAACGGCAGCACAGUAAGAGCUUGCUCUUACGGGUGGCGAGUGGCGGACGGGUGAGGAAUACAUCGGAAUCUACUUUUUCGUGGGGGAUAACGUAGGGAAACUUACGCUAAUACCGCAUACGACCUACGGGUGAAAGCAGGGGAUCUUCGGACCUUGCGCGAUUGAAUGAGCCGAUGUCGGAUUAGCUAGUUGGCGGGGUAAAGGCCCACCAAGGCGACGAUCCGUAGCUGGUCUGAGAGGAUGAACAACCCACAUGGAAAUGAGCGAACGCACCGACCCCCACGGGAAGCAGCAGUGGGGAAUAUUGGAACAUGGGGGGAAGCCCGAUCCGGCCAUGCCGGCUGGGGAAAGGAGGCCUUGGGGUUGUAAAAGCCCUUUGUUGGGAAAGAAAAGGAGGAAGUUAAUACACCCGUUUUAUGACAGUACCAAAAGAAUGAGCAACGGAUAACUUCGA
RNAcentral lists this ribosomal RNA (491 nucleotides) under uncultured bacterium. RNAcentral's name for it is "partial 16S ribosomal RNA". It matches the Rfam family "Bacterial small subunit ribosomal RNA", at positions 29 to 506 of the family's 1533-position model. The record is from RNAcentral.